This 1256-nucleotide long non-coding RNA is filed under the name Taeniopygia guttata (zebra finch). RNAcentral describes it as "lncRNA (ENSTGUG00000027960.1)". The record is from RNAcentral. Lineage: Eukaryota; Metazoa; Chordata; Aves; Passeriformes; Estrildidae.
UUUUUUUCUUUUUUUUUUAUUUCCUUUGGUGGCAAGAAGGUUUUCAGCUUAAUUUUCCAGAAUCCUUAGUGUUUGACUCUGUCCUUUCUGAAGUACAUGACAGCAUAGCUUACACCAGUCAAAAUUUGCUAGGUUACUUUUCAAAUUGAUCUUGCAUUCCUUGCUGUCUUCUUGAAAUCUCUAAUAUUUGAGUUAACAGUGUUUAACUUUUUUCUACUAAUUUUUACUUCAAAAAUAUCAGGAAUGUAAUAUUAGCUUUUAAAUAGUUUAUGCAAAUGACUUUAGAUAAGUAACAGAAAAAUUAAUCACGUAGUGUCUCACUUUCUUUAAAAGAGAAAGAAAUAAGAGCAUCAAUUUCUUUCUCUGAGAUUUCUCUAAGAUGAAGCCAGGAAGUGUUACUGGAAAAAGAAAGCAAACUUUUCCCAGAAAUUUAAAUUUCAGAUGUUCUUGUCCAAAGGAUGAAAUGUAAGAAAGAAUGAUCUCAUUUUACAAUUGAUUGUAACAGUACAGGGUGAAUCUCUGCACUCUUUUUUGUGUCUUUUUAAGAUCUAGUAAAUGUCUAGGAAUGUCUAGAGGAACAAACAGCACACCAUUUUCAAGAUGGGGCCCUGCUGAGAAUACUCAGGCAGGUUUUUGCUUUGUGACCUAUUGCUUUCUGAAUCACACUACCUUGUUUUACUUUCACAACCAUUCUUGAGCCGUUGUUCGUGUGAAACUGUAUGUCAAAACACCAGGAAUGCUCUGCAGAGGAAAAAUGCAAGACCACCACUGCAUGCAUAAAGGAUUUCUCCCUCCAGCUGUGUCAUCAUAAGAUUUGUCAUCUUUUAAACCACCUAGAGGCAUCACUUUCUAGCAGCAUCACUUUCUAAGUCCCUAUCCUAUAGAAUUGCCUUGGCUGUGGCACAAGGGAACACCAGGAGGUUGUGGAUGGGGAGCAGUGGAAACAACACGUGACUACUACAGGCAAGCUCCCCAUCUAGCUCCUGUGACAGUAGACUACUGUGAGGCCUGACAUCUGCUCAGCCAUAAAAGAUAAUUUUGCAGAGUCCAAAUGAUUACUGGAAGAUGAGACAAGAUCCAGUGACUUAAAAAUUGCAGAUGGCCUGAAGCCCUCAUGCAGGCCAAAUUCAACUUGCAGCUUUUGAGAGCAACAGCUUGCAGAAUAGAGUUCUUUGCCAAUAGAUUUACCAGAUAAAAAUUACUUCUUCGAAGUGAGAGGGCUGCACACUUUUUCUCACAUCAUUUCAGUUGUUUAG